GUCAUUCUCCUGCGUCAGACUCCCGAGUAGCUGGGACUACAGGCGCCCGCCAUGAUGCCCGGCUAAUUUUUUGUAUUUUUAGCAGAGACGGGGUUUCACCCUGUUAGCCAGGAUGGUCUCAUCUCCUGACCUCGUGAUCCGCCCGCCUAGGCCUCCCAAAGUGCUGGGAUUACAGGCGUGAGCCACCGCGCCCGGCCUAAUAAAGGACAAUUUUUAAUAGCCACUGGACUAUUUAAGUGAUCUCUUCUGUCAGUUUCUUUUACCAUCAGAGGACACAGCAGCAAGGUGCCAUCCUAGAAGCAGAGAGCAGACCCUUACCAGACAACCAACCAGCUGGUGCCAUGAUCUUGGACUUCUCGGCCUCCAGAACUGCACUUAAACACGCAGCAUGAGGAAAAUGGAACAACAAUCUUGAGCAACACCACACCCUCCUGAUCACCAUAGCUUUAUGCAACAACAAGAAACAAAUUUAUUAGCUAACCUAACCACUAAUGACGCAAGAGACAAUUCUAAGGACUUUCAAAACAGCAAAGUAGGAGCAGCUGCUACCUCUAGGGAUGAGGGAUGCAAUUGUCCAAUUAUUGGUGAAAUUGUCAUUUCAUGCUAUUGGCUAUUUGAAAUUCCUCCUCUAAUUUCAGAAUAAAUCACUGAAAUUGACAUCGGCCAGUCUGAAUUUCAAGAAAUUACCUGCUGAAGACAAGAGGGAUCUCUUCUUCAGAUUUGCAGUCUGGGGAAGACACAGCCUCUACUGUACUUUAGAACCUGAGAUAUGGUGGUGGAGGGAGCCCUGGGUCGAGUGGUAAGAUUCACCCUUAGGUUAGUAUUGACGUAAGGUGACGAGGAGCUGUAGACAAAAGAUUGUAACCAUAAGAACUUCAUAGUUUUUGUAUUUUCACCGAGCUUAUAUUUGGUGUGUUUUUUGUCUUUUCUUUAUGAUUAUCAAUAAAAUGCUUGAAAG
RNAcentral lists this long non-coding RNA (958 nucleotides) under Homo sapiens (human). Its description in RNAcentral is "long intergenic non-protein coding RNA 470". The record is from RNAcentral. Lineage: Eukaryota; Metazoa; Chordata; Mammalia; Primates; Hominidae.